RNAcentral lists this long non-coding RNA (216 nucleotides) under Elaeis guineensis (African oil palm). Its description in RNAcentral is "long non-coding RNA (EGUI_LNC072064)". The record is from RNAcentral. Lineage: Eukaryota; Viridiplantae; Streptophyta; Magnoliopsida; Arecales; Arecaceae.
AGGUGCAUGCAACCCAGACACAUUCUUUACGUUAAACUUGAUCUCUUAAUCUAUUCAUGUAAUAAAAACUUAAUGACAAGGUAAUGACACUUGAUGUCUAUCUUGUCGAUCAACUUAAAACUAAAUGGAAAGAUAAUAAAUUUUUAUGAUAUACAUCACAAAUUAAUACCUAUAUAUGGACACACACACACACACACACACACACACACACACACA